Molecule: long non-coding RNA, 1932 nt
Filed under: Homo sapiens (human)
Lineage: Eukaryota; Metazoa; Chordata; Mammalia; Primates; Hominidae
Description: long non-coding RNA NONHSAT216278.1
Source: RNAcentral
UUAGAUACAGGAAUACAUAUGCAGAUUUGUUACAUGGGAAUACUGCAUGAUGCUGAGGUUUGGAGUACAGAUCCUGUCAACCUGGUAUUGAGGAAACUCGUCGUAUAAAUUCAAUCAAUGACCUGGAUUGAAAACAGCUGUUCUGGGAUAUACUGGUCGUUAGGUAAUAACUCCUUCAACCAAUUGCCACUCAGAAAAUAUUUGAAUCCACCUAUAACCCACCCACAUCAAGUCUUCCCUCCUUUCCAGACUGAACCAAUGUUUACCUCACAUGUGUUGAUUGAUGUUUUAUGUCUCCCUAAAACAUAUAAAACCAAGCUGUAACUCAACCACUCAGGACACAUGUUCUCAGGAUCUCUUGAGACUGUGCCUUUGGCCUUGGUUACUCAUUUUCGGCUCAGAAUAAACCUCUUUAAAUAUUUUACAAAGUUUGUUUUUUUCAUUUUCAUCAACAUUAAUAGUAUUUUAGUUUAGGGAAUAUUGCUAUUAUUCAAGCAACUAGCAGUGGAAGUCAGAAUAUUGUCAUGAAAUUAUAACUUACUAAAUACUAUAAUGAAGACAAUCUUCUAAUUCAUCAACACGUCUUCAGAAAUUUCUUAUUCUCCUGUACUACAUUGGAUGCUACAGAUCAGAGACUCUCAGCCUUGACACUAUUGGCAUUAUACAGUGAAUGAGUCUUUGUUUGGGGGGCAUGUUCUGAGCUCUUGAAAAUGUGUAGCACCAUCUUGUACUUCUACCUACUAGAGACGAGCAGCAUCCCCUUCCCAGUUGUAACAUAGAAAAUAUCUCCAGACAUUGACAACAUCACAUCCUUUUGAGAAUUAUGGCUGCUGAAGUAAGCAAUAAUUGUGGAUAAGACAAAUUAGGUUUCUGACCAACAUUUAAUGGGAAACACAAUUAAAUGAAAAAUAAAUAAACUGGAACAAUACUCAUUGUUCUAAAUCAUUUAAAGUUACUAAAUGGGAUAAAGUCAUAUGUAAUGGAAGAGACCAUAUUCAGGGAAUAGUUCUUGAAAAGGUUGCUCUUGAGUUAAAAUUUAAGGGCUGAAAAGACGCUAUAUAUGUGAAGAGAUUAAUAAAGUGUCAGUGUCUUUCCGAUUUAAAAACAUGCCUAAAUCUGCCCACAAAGCCAUACAAGACUUUCCAAAGAAGGCUUUAUAUUUAAGAUAGAGACAUUAUGAAUUUGUAUGUUAGCAAGUUGAAGAAAGGCUACCCAGCCCCUGCCCUAAUGGAAUGGAAAUGGUAGUUGGAUUAUUACUAUUUUCUGGGGGCAGUUCUAAGUACCCCAAUUCUCACAGGGUAACAACACUUGGAGAGCCAGGUACACAGAUUGCUCUGGGUUACAUUACAAAGGAGGGACCCAAGCUUUAAAAAAUGCAAACUUUGAUAAUGGCAAUAAACAUGUCUGCCCGACUUUUACCCUACAGGGAGGACUAAUUUUUAUCAUGCUGGAGCAUAAAUAAGCCUGCCCUUUGCUCUAGAGGAUGACUAUAUCUAUCUCCCAAGGCUGUCGACUACACAAACAUUCUUGAAUAGAUGGUGAGCAAAAAAAACGUAGUGAAGAGACUCAUGGGAAAUUGUCUUAGAGCACAUAGGAAAGGUGUUAUGGAUUAAAUUGUGUCCUAAAAUUCCUGUGUUGGAGCCCUAACCCCGAAUAUAACUAUAUUUGGAGAUAGGGCCUUUAAAUAGCUACUAAGAUGACAUGAGGUCAGAAUAGUGGGGCCCUAAACCAUUAUGAUUGUUUUCUUCUAAGAAGUGGGAGAAACACCAAGGAAAUGUGCUCACAGAGAAAAGGCAUGUGAGAACACAAUGAUAUGAAGCUGUCUGAAAAACAAGGAGAGAAGCUGAAGAGAAAAUCAAACCUGCUACAACCUUCGUCUUGGAAUUCCAACCUCUAGACCUGUGGGAAAAUAAAUUUCUUUUGUUUGACCCA